This is a non-coding RNA of Danio rerio (zebrafish), 393 nucleotides long. Lineage: Eukaryota; Metazoa; Chordata; Actinopteri; Cypriniformes; Danionidae. The record is from RefSeq and is a predicted model, not a curated record.
ACUCCGCUGUGGCGACCCCGGAUUAAUAAAGGGACUAAGCCGACAAGAAAAUGAAUGAAUCUGUUGAAAUUAUAUUCAUAUUGCAAUGUAUAGCAGAAAAUCUAAAUGUAGCAGAUGUCAUGUGUGUUUAAGAUCUUAUGCCAGUUCACCUAGGAACUAAUUAAGGCGGAGCUGAUUUCAGGGGAAACUAUAAAAAUGAUGCACCACUGUGAGUAGAGAGACAAAUGCAUUCACUUCCAAGCAUUCAACAAGCUAAGGAAUGCUUGUGCUUUUCUUGAGUUUCUCCCUUCCGUAACCAGCCAAUGAGUUCUUACGUCUGGUACACCCCUGAUGUCUUGUGGUUUGCUCUAUGUUGAGAACUGAAGACUUGCUAUGAAAAUAAACCAGUCAGUA